Molecule: long non-coding RNA, 561 nt
Filed under: Oncorhynchus kisutch (coho salmon)
Lineage: Eukaryota; Metazoa; Chordata; Actinopteri; Salmoniformes; Salmonidae
Description: lncRNA (ENSOKIG00005031534.1)
Source: RNAcentral
AUGUCCAUAGACCUGUACUGGGUUAGGACCGUAACCACCAGAGGACUUGAAAAUGAGCCGGAGCUGAGAGGAUCACCAAAACUAAAAAUCAUACAACCAACCAUCCGUGGAGAUCAGUGGACAAAGGGCUGGACAAUGGGCCGCACCGAAAAAACGCAUGGUUCCCAUAAAAAGCUGCCACUAAUCGAUGGUGGCUCAGGGCGGUACCAUUCUGCUCAUCUGAUGAAGGUGCACAUGGAUCAGAUUCAAACUUUGAAGACCGAGAUCGAGUCAUUGAAGGCAGACCAGCAGAAAGAUAAACAUUAUCUGAGGGCAGAGAUACGAGGGACAGCUGAUGCAUUGGUCCAGAGCCAGGCAGUAUUGGCAGAGUGUCACUCGUCAUUGACAGAGAGUCAGGCGGCAUUGGCGGAGAGUCAGGCGGAGAAUGACGCGUUGAAGAGGGCGAGGAAGGAGAUGGAGUCACAAUCCAUACCAGGCACACCUAACUGGACCAACUGCUCACCAGGCACAGCGAGGGCUGUCCGGAUCGUUACGCUGUUCUGCUAUUCCAAAGAUGUUUAA